This 273-nucleotide unclassified non-coding RNA is filed under the name Amphimedon queenslandica. RNAcentral's name for it is "uncharacterized LOC109588968, transcript variant X1". Lineage: Eukaryota; Metazoa; Porifera; Demospongiae; Haplosclerida; Niphatidae. The record is from RNAcentral.
UGUAGUCCAGCCUGUCUGGAGUUCAAAUAGCAACUGUUAAAAGAAAUGCCAGUCUAAAGAACACUAAACCAGAUAAUGUAAUGAGGAAGGAGAUUGCAAGGAAGGAUAGUAUCAUAGCAAGACUAAUAAAACAAAAUCAAGAUGGUGUCCUCAUGAGGGAGAGGUUAGAGAAGGAUCUUCACCACAUGAGACACACUGCAGUACCAGCAGCUCCUACUAGUGACGAGGAGGAGGAGGAGGAGGAGAAUGAAAGAGUUACUAAUGACAGCAAAA